Long non-coding RNA from Herpailurus yagouaroundi (jaguarundi), 2280 nucleotides. RefSeq lists it as uncharacterized. The transcript is spliced from 3 exons. The record is from RefSeq and is a predicted model, not a curated record. Lineage: Eukaryota; Metazoa; Chordata; Mammalia; Carnivora; Felidae.
AGUGCAGUAAGUGACACCUGUGUCUUUGCAGACUCAGCACAGAGAGGCAAGCUGGACUGCCCCUACUUUUGCUUCUGUUCUGAAGGACACGGUCCCAGGCAGUCAGGCCACAUGGAAACACGAAACCACUGACUUACUAAAUUACUUGGUGGUCGUCAUGGCUGGGGCUGCCUAAAGACUGCCAGCUCUGAUGCCCCUGCACAGACCCGGACGCUCGGAGCUCUGAGCCUCUCCCCUCAGCCCCUGCUCGCCCCUUGGCAGCCGCCUGGACGGCUCCACGGAUGGCAUGCCUGCAGUUAUGAGCCCCAAGACACCCAUUUACGGCAGGCGAUAUUUACAAUUUCCAAUACCAGACAAAGAGAAGAUGAGGGUGUAAGAACCUCUCCAUGCAAUGUGGCACCAUUUGAGGAGUACCCUCUGUGUGCCAGACACCAUGCAGCACUCCUAAUUCUCACAAAUAUCUUGGGAAAGAAGUAUAACUAGUCGCAUUUUGCAUAGGAGGAAACUGAGGCCGAAAGACGCUCAGGGACUUGUGUCCUGCCUGACACCGGAGCUUUCCACCUGCCCCCUACUAGCCCAGCCCCCAAGAACCCUCUGUCCUCGGGGACUAGUGACUUAUAUCUGAAGUAGCAUUGGCCGAGCCAAUGUGACAAGAGGGCUACACAAGUGCCCCCUCCCCAAGGCCGUGGACUAUCCUAUCCUGCAGCAGACAAGAAGUGUCUCCCUGGUGCUGCAUGCAUGCAAACAUGGCUGCAUGUGCACGCGACUAUGUGUGCAUAUGCUUCGUGAAGCAGUGAUGUGCCCUGCUCUUAAACAGACUGGCCUCAAAUCUCAGUCACUAGCACGGGAGCUAAGAGCGUGGAUACUGGGAUGCCGCUUACCAUCCGUAUGACCUUGGGCGAGCUACUUAACCUCUUUGUGCCUCUGCGUCUUCAUCUGUGUGAUAAGGAUAGUAAUGGUGCCUUCCUCAGAGACCCACUGACAGCUGCCCGGCUGUGGUGCUUCCUACCCCCAAGACAAUCCCUCUCCAUCUCUUUCUUCCUCAUUAAACCUUGAGAAAGGAGUUGGGGCUGAAGAAAGCAGCCCCUCCCCUAAGCAAAGCUUCCUCUCCCUCCAACUGAAGCCUCCAACUCUGGUUCCUAUAAAGUAAGUGGUUGGAUUGCCGGAUUCUCAGUGGGAACAGCAGACAUAGAGAACAGGCUUUGGAGUCAGACAGAUACAGGCUCCCAUUCAGUCACUUAGGACAUGAGUGAUUUGGCCAAGCUCCCUGGCACCUCCCUGCUCGAUUGAGAUCCUCAGGCCAGCGGCGUCGACGUCACCUGUUAGAAACCAGAAUCUUGGACCCCACCCCCAGAUCACCUGAACCCGAAUCUGUGUUUUAAUAAGAUCCCUGGUGAUUCGUGUGCACAUUACAUUUUAAGAAGCACUGCCUUAGUGGCUGGGCCUCAGCCACCACCUCUGGAAAAUGAAGAUAAUAACAGCCUCUGUCUUGCAGCUUAGUUUGCAAAGAUUAUGAAGAUAUAUAAGAAAACAGUCUGGCAAACUGUAAAGAUGGAACCGCAAAAAAAAAAACAAAAAAACAGAAAAAACUAUUUAUUACUCUGAACCAUUCUGUUGUUUUGUGUCAAACCUCACAUCGUCAGUCAGGAUGGUUCUCAAAUCCACACCUUGUGGACCUACCACUAACCCCCUCCACAUGCCUGCAAACCUACAACAGUGACGGAGAAAACUUUUUCAAGAAAAAAAAAAUGAAUAAAAAGGGAGGCCAGAGGAAACUGGCCCAGCAAAGCCACAUGCUGGCUCAGGGACUAGAUUUGCAAUGCCUACAAAGUCACCAAGGGUUAAGAGCCCUGAGUGGAGUAUUUUUAGAAAGAAUAAAACCAAAAUUUUAGACAAUAAUAAAAAAAAUUGUAAGACUUGGUUUUGCACUGGAGACUUCAAUGGGACUAAGGGAGGAAUGGUAAAACCAAUAGUUGGAGGGACAAAAAGAGAAAAAAAAACCAUCAAGAUGAGCUUGCAGAGCACAAUUUCAAAAAUGUAAAGAAGAUACUGAGGUUAAAUCAACAGAACUUAUCAAGGACAAAAUAGGUAAUAAUCUCAAAACGAUUUGCCCUAAGCCCAUUUAGAACUCCAAAAAAAAAAAAAAAAAGGAAAGUUGGUAUCUGCCAAGAGAAGCAAGAACAUAAGAAACAAAAGUAAGCAUAAAUGUAACAAGAAUAGAUAGACAUGAAAAAAUAACCCACUGGAAAUUUUAGGAAUGAAAUAAUAUUGUCACUGGAA